Molecule: non-coding RNA, 211 nt
Organism: Labrus bergylta (ballan wrasse)
Lineage: Eukaryota; Metazoa; Chordata; Actinopteri; Labriformes; Labridae
Source: RefSeq, a predicted model, not a curated record
CCGCCUCACAGACGCUGUCAAAGAUAGCAUAGCUGCUAAUCUCCGGUUAGCUAGCAUAGCUGCUAAUCGCCGGGAGAGGAGGACAGGUAAACAAUGGCGGGAGUGCAUCCUCAGGACGACCUGCUGAAGAUGACUCACAGAGAGAACUGGCGGGUUCAGCAUGAGCGCAUGCACGUGAAGCACAGGGGUCACGAGGCCAUGCACGCUGAGA